AUCCAGCUGACUAGUCCCAAAUAGGACGAAAUGCGCAUCCUGGAU
This is a non-coding RNA of Trichobilharzia regenti, 45 nucleotides long. Lineage: Eukaryota; Metazoa; Platyhelminthes; Trematoda; Strigeidida; Schistosomatidae. The record is from Rfam.